GAUGAAGAACGAGCGAAAUGCGAUAAGUAAUGUGAAUUGCAGAAUUCAGUGAAUCAUCGAAUCUUUGAACGCACAUUGCGCCCGUCAGUAUUCUGGCGGGCAUGCCUGUUCGAGCGUCAUUACGCCCCUCAAGUCCCCUGUGGACUUGGUGUUGGGGAUCGGCGAGGCUGGUUUUCCAGCACAGCCGUCCCUUAAAUUAAUUGGCGGUCUCGCCGUGGCCCUCCUCUGCGCAGUAGUAAAACACUCGCAACAGGAGCCCGGCGCGGUCCACUGCCGUAAAACCCCCCAACUUUUUAUAGUUGACCUCGAAUCAGGUAGGACUACCCGCUGAACUUAAGCAUAUCAAUAAGCGGAGGA
Molecule: unclassified non-coding RNA, 357 nt
Filed under: soil metagenome
Description: partial contains 5.8S ribosomal RNA, internal transcribed spacer 2, and large subunit ribosomal RNA
Rfam family: 5.8S ribosomal RNA (bases 1-119)
Source: RNAcentral